This is a non-coding RNA of Styela clava, 311 nucleotides long. The record is from RefSeq and is a predicted model, not a curated record. NCBI's taxonomy places the organism in Eukaryota, Metazoa, Chordata, Ascidiacea, Stolidobranchia, Styelidae.
GUCUUAAAGAAGCGACCACGAAUUCUGUUUUAGGUGUCAAAGAAACGACCACUCCCCAUGGAUACAAAGACAAGACAACUUCUUCUACCAGCGCUUCAACCGCCAUUGGCACAUCACCUUGGUCAACUAAGGAAGCCUUUUUCUCUACUUUUCGCCCACAAACUACAAAAGUUGAACAGAGUACAGAUAAGUGUGACGUCACAUACAAGAAAAAAUGCUACCGAGCAGUUGUGUAUGAUGUACAGAACGUUACAUUCAACGAUGCCGAAGCAAUCUGCAAAUCAGUGAACGGAAAACCCGCGAAUAUUUAC